GAAUCCCAUCUCGAACGUAGUUUCUUGUCUUUUCGAAGAUGAGAAGCAAUUUUGGUGUUCGAGGAUCUGAGCAAUCUCAACCCGCUGGUUUCUCUUUUUCAGUUUACUGGAAAGGGAAUUUUUGUCCCGGGGGGAUGCUUGAAAGGAGGUUUUUGUUUUCCAUUUCCUUCCUUGGGGGUUCGUAUUCCUUUGGCCUGAAAGCAUAUUUAUUUAGUCCCGUCAAAAGGAUUAUUUCUCUUUGCUGGAAAGGUGUUGAAGGAGAACUUUCGAGAGGGGAGUGUGCCUCAAUUUUACAGGGACUCUCACAA
RNAcentral lists this unclassified non-coding RNA (308 nucleotides) under Actinomortierella wolfii. RNAcentral's name for it is "Mortierella wolfii sequence contains ITS2". Lineage: Eukaryota; Fungi; Mortierellomycota; Mortierellomycetes; Mortierellales; Mortierellaceae. The record is from RNAcentral.